RNAcentral lists this ribosomal RNA (253 nucleotides) under uncultured bacterium. RNAcentral's name for it is "partial 16S ribosomal RNA". It matches the Rfam family "Bacterial small subunit ribosomal RNA", at positions 524 to 776 of the family's 1533-position model. The record is from RNAcentral.
UACGUAGGGUGCAAGCGUUGUCCGGAAUUAUUGGGCGUAAAGAGCUCGUAGGCGGUUUGUCGCGUCGAAUGUGAAAACCCGGGGCUCAACCCCGGGCCUGCAUUCGAUACGGGCAGACUAGAGUUCGGUAGGGGAGUCUGGAAUUCCUGGUGUAGCGGUGAAAUGCGUAGAGAUGUGGAGGAACACCGAUGGCGAAGGCAGCCUCCUGGGCCAACACUGACGCUCAUGCACGAAAGCGCGGGGAGCAAACAGG